Long non-coding RNA from Micropterus dolomieu (smallmouth bass), 1209 nucleotides. RefSeq lists it as uncharacterized. NCBI's taxonomy places the organism in Eukaryota, Metazoa, Chordata, Actinopteri, Centrarchiformes, Centrarchidae. The record is from RefSeq and is a predicted model, not a curated record. The transcript has 2 exons.
UUGAUCAGCUGGGGAUUGAAAUAGGCUGUUUAUUUUUGCUUACUCGGUUCUGAUCAGUGACCCGGGCAAAGCAGUGUCAAAUAUCCAAUUUUCUGUCGGUCACAUUGAACGUAACAAACAGGCUACGCUGCCCCCGUGUUUCACGUGUGUGCACAGACAGUAACCUCGUGUCACAGCCAUACACACACAGGCUAAAACAUGUCUUAGAUGUGUGGAAGUUAUCCACGAGCGUGAAGAAGACGCAACGCUCACUGCAUCUGCAGAGAAACACACAGAAAGAGACGCUGUGGAUAGUGUAAAGCAGGGAGCAGGUAAAGCAACAGUGAACACAGCUGUUGGUGACGAUGUCAUUCAUACCACUAUGGUCUCUAUUGGUAAUUAACAACAAACCUCUUCCACACGCCCCUCAUCUGCUGCUGUGAAAACGGAAUUGCGGGUGGAAAACCAAACGCCAGUUAUUUUAAUAAAACUGCUGACAAAUAAAGUCAGAGACAGACAGGUGUGUGCUUGUGUGUCUGAUGGGGAAAAUCAAGUUAUAGUUCUUAGAAAGAAAGAAAAUCGGAAUCGGCCCAAAUUAGAAUCGAUGGGUCAGUGUUGUGGUGGCAGCCUGGCUGACGGUGAGUGUCCUGGUUUUUUCUCCUUUUUGUCUGUAAUUCUGUUUUUUCCCUGGUUUUCUCUGCCUCCCUGUGUCUCCUCCCCUGUGUGUGCUCUCUCUCUCUCUCUCUCCCUCCGCUCAUGAGCCCAGCCAACGACCCGCACCUGCAUCUCGUCAACCUCCUCCUCUGCCUGCCACACCUGCCAGCAAUCAAAUUCACUUCUGCCAGUACUUCAACCCCAGUUCUCCACACUACCUCUGCUUGAUCAUCGUUGCUCCUAACCCAGUGCCACUUCACCAUUCAAGCUCACACGUAUUCAGCAUCUUUUUGAUUUCCCUGUGUUUUGUCUCUGCUGUGUCUGACCCUGUUUCUCUGUCUCUCUCCCCAGGUUCACUCACCCUCACCCUCAGCCAAGUCAGCUGGGCUCGUUCACCUGCCCUCUCCCCUCGGACUUCCCCCAAGGCGUCCUCCCAGUUCUCCCCUGCCUCCUCUCUUCCUCUGCCCCUAGUGUUCCCCGGUCUCAUUCUCCUUGGUUCCCUGUGCCUGCGUUUCCCCGGAAUCCACCUCUCCCUCAACCCCAUUUUUCCCCAAAUAAAACCUGUUAAUCCCCAGA